AACAUUCCCUACAAGUUCCCUACAUGAAUUGCAUAAUAGAGAUACAAGCAAGAAUCAUUAAGUUCUAUAAAAAACAUAAGCAUUGACGAGGCACUCGUUACUAUGAUUUGCAUGAAACUUAUGCCAAGAAUUUACUUAACGUGAUUGUGACUAGCAACCUUCACUACUUGUGAAUAUAAGUUCAUAAUGAUUAGGUGAAACUCCCUUAUAUUCUAGCGUUAAAUUCAUGCAUGAAAAUUAAGCGUGCACUCUCAACCAACAUACACAAAUCAUUUCUUAUACGAUCGGAUAAGUAAAUUGAAUUCACAACUUAUGAAUCACAACUGGAUGUAAUCAAAUCAUAUUGCAAGUAUGAACAUGGUUUCGAAUCACCCACUAACUAAGAGG
Molecule: long non-coding RNA, 387 nt
Filed under: Malus domestica (apple)
Lineage: Eukaryota; Viridiplantae; Streptophyta; Magnoliopsida; Rosales; Rosaceae
Description: long non-coding RNA (MDOM_LNC004741)
Source: RNAcentral